CUCUGUUUUCCUCUCUACUCUGUCUCGUCUGACGUCUCAACGCUAAAGCCUCUCCAGCUCUGUCUCGUUUUCCUCUAUCUUGUCUCAUAACAGUAUCACGUUUGCCUCUCUAGCUCAACAAACCCAUACCCACAAUAGAAGAACCAGACAACGGCGCACCGUCAAAUCUCAAUCCAACUCGAUGGUGCCACCCUCUAGCUUCUUCUAUUCCAAUCCAACCUCAAAUCCACAUCCAAUCCAACUCAGCGGCGCUUCUUCCGUCUCUCUGCCCUUUUGUUCGAAGUUUCCAAAAAUCUCAGGUUGCUAGGAACAAAACCAAUCUAUUAUUCCUUUUGGUUCAUAGCAGGAACUUAUUGAAAAACUUCACAAAGGUGAACUGUCAAAAGAUGAUUAUCCAUGUCUGAAUGACCCGAGUCAAACUUUUCAUGACAUCCUUUUGGUUUGCCUAGAUCUCUUAUUGAAUUUUGACCUUUAAACUGCAUUCUCUGAUUUUGUAUGCGAAAGAACCUCUCUCAAAGCUUGUGGUAAAAUUUCUGUAUAAAAUGUUGUGCUUGUAUCUCAUUCUUCUUAUUCUUAUCAUCUUUGUAUGAUAUAUCAAGCUUUCUGCUUGUUAUGCUCAAUCUUCUAUAGUUAUUCUAGAUGUUGCUGUAGUCAUUUCCAUAUUUAAAAUCAAUAUCCCAAAUUUCAAUAUAUCUCCUAUUCAGAAUUUGAUCAGCUGAAAUUUUCUAAAACUUGUACCAGAAUUGUUAGGAUCUAAAAGUUGAUUCUAUCAAGUCUUCCUUGGAAUUGAACGUGCUCAAUUACCUUUAUUUUCCAGUAGACAACAAGUUCAUGCUCUGUAGCAUACUAUUUUGUUUCUUCACAUGUCAAGGAUUUACAAUUAUCAUUGUCUAAAAUCUGAGACUGGACACUGGUAAACUUGCUCUGUCAUGUUGUGUGUACUAUCUUUGGUUAGAGUAUUGCUAGUGUGCAUGUCAUUGAUUUAUUGAAAAAAAAGAAAGUGUGCAUGGCAUUGACAUAUGGAACAAAUGAGAGUACUUUAUUGACUAUAUCACCCGUGUCAUCACCUUGUUAAAAGCAGAUAAAUGAAUUUUCAAGUAGUACUGUCUUGUUAGGCUAAUCUUUAAGAAUCAUAUAUUAUGUGCAUAUGAAGUAAAAUCACAUCUCUUGAACCAUAUGGUAUAAAAAAUAUUACUCCUAUCACAAACUUAGUACACUGGCCUUUGCUUGGUUUAACUGGUGACUGCAAGGAUCAUAUCCUCUUCAUAAUUUUUUCUUUAAAGGUUUGACAGUUUGCUGAAUUUGGUAUUUGAAACAAUUAUACACUAACAGAAAUUCUUACAAUGAUAAGUUCCAGAGAAGGCAGGUAGAAUCCUCUUAUGGAUGAUAAUAGUGACCCAUUUCUCAAGCUCACAAUUAUAUAUAAAGCUCUCGUCCACAGGUCAAUCAGUUGAAAUUCACAAUGUGUCUACAAGACCCAAUUUUCCUCAAAAUUCUACUUCUUUUGCAUGGGGACAUCCUGAUGUGAUUCAGAAGCUCAGUGCAUGGUACCAGCCAAUCAGGAAUGGCUAAAGGCAAUUCCAUGAAGACACAAAAUGCUGAUCUUAAGAAUUGCAGUGACAGAAUGAAUGCUUGAAUCCAACACACUAAGAGUUCUUGGCAGAACAAUGACACGGGGUGACAACCUGUAGUGUCUCCACCCCUAUAGCAAAGGUCAUAUUGGUCUGCUAGAGCUGAUCACACUCAAUC
Long non-coding RNA from Quercus lobata, 1749 nucleotides. RefSeq lists it as uncharacterized. The record is from RefSeq and is a predicted model, not a curated record. NCBI's taxonomy places the organism in Eukaryota, Viridiplantae, Streptophyta, Magnoliopsida, Fagales, Fagaceae. The transcript is spliced from 3 exons.